RNAcentral lists this non-coding RNA (161 nucleotides) under human gut metagenome. RNAcentral describes it as "Lysine riboswitch". It matches the Rfam family "Lysine riboswitch aptamer". From Rfam's summary of the family: Riboswitches are metabolite binding domains within certain messenger RNAs that serve as precision sensors for their corresponding targets. Allosteric rearrangement of mRNA structure is mediated by ligand binding, and this results in modulation of gene expression. This family includes riboswitches that sense lysine in a number of genes involved in lysine metabolism, including lysC. The record is from RNAcentral.
GAUAGAGGUUGCGAAAGCGAAGAGUAGCUCACGGCGAACGACGGCAAACGGCUGUGAGGGAAAGGCGCUUUCGCCGAAGUGAUCCUGCGGUUGCCGCCGCUUGGUUGCUGGGCUUACGCCGAACAGGCGUGAGACUGUCGCAUUUUAUGCGGAGAGCUAUC